CAGCAGCCGCGGUAAUACGUAGGUGGCAAGCGUUGUCCGGAAUUAUUGGGCGUAAAGGGCUCGCAGGCGGUUUCUUAAGUCUGAUGUGAAAGCCCCCGGCUCAACCGGGGAGGGUCAUUGGAAACUGGGAAACUUGAGUGCAGAAGAGGAGAGUGGAAUUCCACGUGUAGCGGUGAAAUGCGUAGAGAUGUGGAGGAACACCAGUGGCGAAGGCGACUCUCUGGUCUGUAACUGACGCUGAGGAGCGAAAGCGUGGGGAGCGAACAGGAUUAGAUACCCGAGUAGUCCCUGUCUCUUAUAA
Molecule: ribosomal RNA, 301 nt
Filed under: uncultured bacterium
Lineage: Bacteria
Description: partial 16S ribosomal RNA
Rfam family: Bacterial small subunit ribosomal RNA
Source: RNAcentral